Long non-coding RNA from Acinonyx jubatus (cheetah), 4352 nucleotides. RefSeq lists it as uncharacterized. The transcript has 2 exons. The record is from RefSeq and is a predicted model, not a curated record. Lineage: Eukaryota; Metazoa; Chordata; Mammalia; Carnivora; Felidae.
AGAGUCAAUUGCCUUUUACCAGUUGGCUGCUUCCUGAGAAGAAUCACAUGGCUGGUUUCCCUCAUGUUCUACCCGACUCAAGUUCGUGGCCCAAGUCCCACCUGACUGUUGUAGACACCUGUUUAAAUGUGGUACUCUGUUCACUCAGAUGGGGAAAACCUAUGCCUUUUAGUCUCAAUGAGUUUGACCAAUGCCUCUGUCCGAGUGUUCCUGUACGGAUCCCAUGUGUGCCCCAUGAAAUGAGUUAAGUCAACACCCACCCUGUUCUUUAUUUUGGAAGUGUCUCGCUACUUCCAGAAAAUCUGUGAGAUUGGGGAAUUGAGAAUUUCUCUAUUACUAGUAUACUUACAUUCUGUACUUCUCCUCAUGGUAUCAGUUUAGCUGUUUACUUUGGAAACUAGAAAUGGGCUCUUUUAACUUGGCCUUUAAUGUUAUUUGCAUAUCUAAGAAGAGUAGCUGUGUCCACCCCAGUCCACGGUUCAUUUGUUGGCGCUUUUUCUCAUCCCUCCCUGAUCUCCUUAACUUGUCUGUUUUAUGGCACUUACUAUAAUCAGCCUUGCACUAGAGCUUCGCCCUCCCCACCCUCUCCCACCUGUUAGAUUGUGAGCUCUUAUAAGACAGGGGUGACCCUUCAUGUCUGAUUCCCCUACCAGAUCUAGCACAGUGCCUUGCAUCAAGUAGAUUUCAAUAAAUAUAUGUUAAAUGGCAUUGGUCUUCCUUGACUUAUUUUGUCAGAGUUUCGGUUAACAGCUCUUCCCUUGCUCCUUUCUCUGCCCUCUAAAGUUCUUGCCCCACCCCCCACCCCCACUUACUGGAUGCCUGGAGGGGACAGGAGGUGCCCCGAUGAGGAAGGGCUGGUUUCCCUGGACAUUUGAGCUGUCCCUUGGCAGAAGAGGCCUGUCAUUCAGCCAGGUCCCUUCUCCCACCCUGGCUCGGGCUCUCCUCAGAGUCUGAAUUCCGGGUGGGAGCAGAACACCAGGCUGGACCCUGAGCUCCUCCCUUAGGGACCAGAAAUAGAGUGACGGAAGUGGCUACUAGGACUUGAGGAUCGGCCAGCCUCUCUGGUCUAGGUGAGGGUGGGAGUGAGGAGGUCAGUCCUCUUGACCAGUGGCUGGCCCUCUCUCCAAUGAUCAUUGCCUCCAGAAAGGCAGGUAGUGAGGACAGGCCCCUGGAUUCCUGACCCCCCUCACCUGCCAAAUACAAACAAGGCUCACCUGUGGAGUCAGCUGCCCAGUCCCAGAAGGGCAAGCACCCAGGAGCCCCACGAGCACUUGGGUUGGGAUCUCAAGGGCCAUGGUGUGCUGUAACAGCAAGGAGAAACUGUUGGAAAGGAACAUGCCUUCCCCCACCAUCCCAAUCUCCCUGGAGGUGCCCAGGAAAGACCCAUGUCAUCUUUCCCCCAGGGUCCCAUCCUCAUCACUCUAUCAAUUAAUUUUCCACCCCAAAUGCAGCUUCUUGGCAGGUGGUGGUGAUACGACCACACCCCACUGCCAUCCCAGCCAUCUCUGCUCACAAGCCAGUUGUUUGGAGAGAACCAUUCAUCUGCUUUGCUGGUUUCAUGAUGUACUUGCCACUGAGAAGUCCACCUAUGUUUCCCUCAAACAUGAGCAAGCUCUGUUCAGGCAAACUUCAGUUAUGCAAAAGCCAAGGCCACAGAUCUGUUUGGACAACUAACACUGGGCCCAGAGGGUAGGGGAUAUCCUGGGGCUUCUUGUAGGGGGUUGAGAAUCUUCCUUUCUGACCCUCUCCUAGGGCCCCCUGACUUCUGGAGCCCUGUAGCCUCUCCAACAACACCCUCCUCUGAGACCCCCAAUAACUCUUUUGCUUACCUGAGAGUUGACAGUCCCCAGACGCUCACCUCCCGGGCCAGGCUCCUGCCCACAACCAUCUGCCCCAACCCACUUCUAUCCUGCUCACAUCCCACCUGGGAGGGGCCGCUAGCCUUGUUGUAGUCUGUUUAGGCUGCUAUCACCAAAACGCCAUCAAGGUGGCUUAUAAAACAACACUCAUUUAUUGCUCACAGUUCUGGAUGCUGGGAAAUCCAAGACCAAGAUGCUGGCAGAGCCAGCAUCAGGCGAAGACCUGCUUCCUGCUUCAUAGAUGGCUGUCAUCUGGCUGUGUCUUCACAUGGCGGAAGGGUGAGCAAGGUGCCUAAGGCCUCUUUUAUAAGAGUGCUAAACCCAUUCAUGGGGACUCUUCCCUCAUGACCCAAUCACCUCCUAGAGGCCCCACCAACUGAUGGGGUGACAUUGGGGGAUAGGAUCUUAAUGUAUGAAUUUUGGGGGACACAGACAUUCAGAGGAGAGGGUACUUGGGCUUCUCAUAGUUUCAUGCACUUAUUAGUUUGAUUUAUACAUUGGUGAGCUGUUUCAAUUACUUCCCACUGAGCCCAUAAUAUUGCUCACAUAUUUUAAAUAUUGCUCAUAUAUUUUAAAAUAUAUAAUAAAAAGGACCCAUCGGGGCUGGGCCGGCCCGGCUCCCUGGGGCCCCGGCCUCCAAGUCCAUGGCUGUGCCCAUGAUGCUGCUCAACCUCAUGGACCAGCUGGGGGAGGCUGACGAGGAGCUGGCGGGCAACUACACGGAGCUGGGGGACUGGUGCGCCCAGAGGAUCCUGCAGCAUGUCCAGGACAGCCACUUUGGUGGUGGUAGCAGGCUAUCCUGCUUGGAGAUGGUCGGACUUGGCAGGUGCCUGGAGGAUGAACUUCAGGAAGGUGUGGGAGAUGCAUUUGGCCAACUGUCACUAUCAGGGAGUGAACUUCUAAAAUUCAAGAAGAAUUUGGAACUCUGUCUCCGAAUGCUACUGUUAUUAUAAUUUUGUCGUCCACUUUCACCCUCCGACUGUCAGGGUCGGCCUUCCGCGACAGGGGCCAUGGUCUCAGCUGCCGGCACCUGUUUCUCGGGUUCCCGCGCCAUGUGCUCUCAGGCUUUACGCCGGCAGCUGCAUGAUGCCUAACGCUUUUCAAGCAGCCCACUGGACUUCGGAAGAAAAGUUUCAGUAGCAUGUUUUCCAGAAGGAACUUUGUACCUAGGAUAAACAGUUUGGUCAAAUCUCAGAAAAUCUUUGUGUUUAGUUACUAUAGCAGUCCUUGUGACAGCAACUAUUUCCCUAAAGCACGUUAUAAAGUCUGGUGUGAAGUGUGUUUAGUGGAGAUCAAAUGUGUUUUAAGAGCCUUGUUUUUCCCUGAAACUUGGUUCCUUUCUUCAUGUGUUACAUUCUUUAUUAUUUCAAGAUCAGAGAUGAUUUAUCAAAGAAACAGUUGUAUACAAGUUGGGAGAUAGUGCCUCCUGGAAGUUCUGCUUUAUUUCAUCCUGGCAAAAAUGAGAAUUCUCCAUAGGACUUUUUCCAAAAACACUCACGGCCUACGUGGAAUCAAACAACUGAAUGAUGCAUCCCAUUCUGAAAGUCGUUCUACUCAGUGCUACGAUGGGGUCCUCAGGGAAGUGGAGGGUCCCGGAGCAGCUGAGUGAAACUGAGGGCAGGAGCGAGGGGGCCAGAAACCGAGGGCACGUUAAAAAGCAGGAAACCCAAACCACUAUGCGAGUCUACCAAACCAGCGAGUGAGGAAUUAUUCUGUGUCAUAUUAUUAUUAACAACACAUAAACACUCUCUAUUUUAUAUGCUUUUAAAUUUAUUGUUAAAUACACAAGCAAGACAUGAAUAUAAUUCUCAUUUUAAAAUAUUAAACAAAUAGGAAUAAAAUAAAAGCUCCUUUUAGCCAUUCUCUAGGCCCCUCUCAAUUCCCCCUUUCCCGGAAGAUCCUUCCCGACAUUUCCUGCAUGUUUACAUGCAUAUAUGUAGGGACACACUGGAGAGUUUCUCAUACUCUAUGCUUAUUCUGCAAGUUGCUCUCUCUCCCAAUUCCCCCUUUCCCAGAAGAUCCAUAAGGAAGCGUGCCUGGGAGAGAGUUUUUAAUUAUAGCUCUGUACUCCACAGCAUGGAUAUAGCAGACUUUGUUCCCAGCUUCCCCUCCUCGGUGCACAUUUAGGGGUCCUGCGGGGUUUCGCUGAUGGGCACAAUGCCGCAUGGACACUCUUGCCCCAUCACACACACACACACACACACACACACACACACACGAACACUGCUGUAAGACUGAGUCAGGGAGGGCAGCGCUAGAUGGCUCCAACCAAGAGACCACCAAUGAUGCAGCUAGUGGCUUAGAGAAGACUGAACAUUGUUACUCGCUCUCAUAAGGGUCAGCCGAGCACUCCAGGUUGAAGGGACAUCUCUGUUCCACGCCGUCACUCAGGAAGCCCAGUGCUUCUCAAACCAUUUGUGGUGAAAGACCAGUUUAUGUCCACCCACCCACCCCCAAUCCAUUUUGCCCAAGGCUUUUGUAAAAUGCAAUAAA